CCCCUCUCAGGAUCGCACCUGGAGAGUUUCCAGUAUUCUACCAGGUUUCGACUACGGGAGGGAGGCCAAGCAGAGGCAGACCCAUUCCAUUCCCGGCUUGGGCAGUGGCUAGCGAAUGGACGGCAAUCUGCUACAAGU
Small nucleolar RNA from Ornithorhynchus anatinus (platypus), 138 nucleotides. The record is from RefSeq and is a predicted model, not a curated record. Lineage: Eukaryota; Metazoa; Chordata; Mammalia; Monotremata; Ornithorhynchidae.